This 433-nucleotide ribosomal RNA is filed under the name uncultured bacterium. Its description in RNAcentral is "partial 16S ribosomal RNA". It matches the Rfam family "Bacterial small subunit ribosomal RNA", at positions 29 to 507 of the family's 1533-position model. The record is from RNAcentral.
AACGAACGCUGGCGGCAUGCCUAACACAUGCAAGUCGAACGAGACCUUCGGGUCUAGUGGCGCACGGGUGCGUAACGCGUGGGAACCUGCCCUUAGGUUCGGAAUAACUCCCCGAAAGGGGUGCUAAUACCGGAUAAUGUCUUCGGACCAAAGAUUUAUCGCCUUUGGAUGGGCCCGCGUUGUAUUAGCUAGUUGGUAGGGUAAAAGCCUACCAAGGCGACGAUCCAUAGCUGGUCUGAGAGGAUGAUCAGCCACACUGGGACUGAGACACGGCCCAGACUCCUACGGGAGGCAGCAGUGGGGAAUAUUGGACAAUGGACGAAAGCCUGAUCCAGCAAUGACGCGUGAGUGAUGAAGGCCUUAGGGUUGUAAAGCUCUUUUACCCGGGAUGAUAAUGACAGUACCGGGAGAAUAAGCUCCGGCUAACUCCGUG